UCCCUGGAGGAUUAGUGGUUAGGCCACAAUGCUCUCACCGCUACAGCCCGGGUUCAAUUCCCAGCCAGGGAA
RNAcentral lists this transfer RNA (72 nucleotides) under Pangasianodon gigas (Mekong giant catfish). RNAcentral describes it as "tRNA-Glu". It matches the Rfam family "tRNA". Rfam says of the family: Transfer RNA (tRNA) molecules are approximately 80 nucleotides in length. Their secondary structure includes four short double-helical elements and three loops (D, anti-codon, and T loops). The record is from RNAcentral. Lineage: Eukaryota; Metazoa; Chordata; Actinopteri; Siluriformes; Pangasiidae.